This 639-nucleotide small RNA is filed under the name Pan troglodytes (chimpanzee). RNAcentral describes it as "retained intron". The record is from RNAcentral. Lineage: Eukaryota; Metazoa; Chordata; Mammalia; Primates; Hominidae.
GGUACAACCCUAGUAAAAAUUGGUAUUGAGAGAUGUUGCUUUUUCUUUGAUGAACAAAAAUAGCGUUUUCAUGCCUCUGCUGCUACGCCCCCUAUAUAGAGUUUGGGAUAUAGAAUUGCCUAUGGGAAGAAAGCAUCAGUACUUCUUCCUGAGCUAGGAGGAGAAUAGUGCUUGAAUGUAUUUUGUAGAGCUUAUGAAAGCCCUAGAAGCUGACUUCCUUCCUUGCCUAGAGAUAACUUGGGUUCAAAACUACCCACAGGCACAUUUGGUGGGUUCUGGAAAGCGUGGGCUGCGUUGCAGUGAUGGGUAACCAGGUUUCCUUUUCCAGAUGACCUUCCAUCAGUGCCCGUGUUUGACAGAACUCUGCCAGUGAAGCAAAUGCAUGUGCUUGAGACCCUGGACCUUCUGGUUCUCAGAGCAGACAAAGGAAAAGAUGCUCGCCUCUUUGUCUUCAGGCUAAGUGCUCUGCAAAAGGGCCUUGAGGGGAAGCAGGCUGGGAAGAGCAGGUCUGAAUGCAGAGAAAACAAGUUGGAGAAAACAAAAGGCUGCCACCUGUAUGCUAUUAACACUCACCACAGCAGAGAGCUGAGGAUUGUGGUUGCAAUUCGGAAUAAACUGCUUCUGAUCACAAGAAAACAC